Molecule: ribosomal RNA, 138 nt
Filed under: Listeria monocytogenes
Lineage: Bacteria; Bacillati; Bacillota; Bacilli; Caryophanales; Listeriaceae
Description: partial 16S ribosomal RNA
Rfam family: Bacterial small subunit ribosomal RNA
Source: RNAcentral
UCACACCACGAGAGUUUGUAACACCCGAAGUCGGUAGGGUAACCUUUAUGGAGCCAGCCGCCGAAGGUGGGACAGAUAAUUGGGGUGAAGUCGUAACAAGGUAGCCGUAUCGGAAGGUGCGGCUGGAUCACCUCCUUU